RNAcentral lists this small RNA (117 nucleotides) under Arabidopsis thaliana (thale cress). RNAcentral's name for it is "ATSL135860". Lineage: Eukaryota; Viridiplantae; Streptophyta; Magnoliopsida; Brassicales; Brassicaceae. The record is from RNAcentral.
AUGCUCAGUAUUUCAAGGAACAGGAGAAGCUUGAGCACAGAUUCUGAAGCAUGAAGUCACUCCUUUUCUACAAGAACCUGACAGUUUGAAGUAAUUUCUUUUGUUUCAAGCCUAUAA